CUGGGUCAUGGGGGAUGAGUGUGGGAGGCUGACCUCCAGAGCCACAGCCACGCUCUUCCUCUUCUGUGAGCUCUCAGUUCGUAUCCUUUGUUUACCUUGGACUGGACAAUAGCCUGUUUCUUAUUGACUCCCCAGAGCGUUCUACCUAUUAGAGAACCCAGCUUUGGAUGAUACGUGUUACAGACUCCUUCACCCCCAGUUUAUUGUUUUGAUUUUUGAUUUAACCCGUUGGCCUGUUUUCCCAGUUGAAACCCGUGAUCGUUAGUAGUAGUCUUUCCUUUUAUGGUUUCU
This 291-nucleotide long non-coding RNA is filed under the name Bos taurus (domestic cattle). Its description in RNAcentral is "long non-coding RNA NONBTAT023235". Lineage: Eukaryota; Metazoa; Chordata; Mammalia; Artiodactyla; Bovidae. The record is from RNAcentral.